This 370-nucleotide ribosomal RNA is filed under the name uncultured organism. Its description in RNAcentral is "bacterial SSU rRNA". It matches the Rfam family "Bacterial small subunit ribosomal RNA", at positions 526 to 896 of the family's 1533-position model. The record is from RNAcentral.
CGGAGGGUGCAAGCGUUAUCCGGAUUCACUGGGUUUAAAGGGAGCGUAGGUGGGUUGGUAAGUCAGUGGUGAAAUCUCCGAGCUUAACUUGGAAACUGCCAUUGAUACUAUCAGUCUUGAAUAUUGUGGAGGUCAGCGGAAUAUGUCAUGUAGCGGUGAAAUGCUUAGAUAUGACAUAGAACACCAAUUGCGAAGGCAGCUGGCUACACAUAUAUUGACACUGAGGCUCGAAAGCGUGGGGAUCAAACAGGAUUAGAUACCCGUGGUAGUCCACGCCCUAAACUAUGGAUACUCGACAUACGCGAUACACUGUGUGUGUCUGAGCGAAAGCAUUAAGUAUCCCACCUGGGAAGUACGAGUCGCAAGAUUG